Molecule: non-coding RNA, 208 nt
Organism: Miniopterus natalensis
Lineage: Eukaryota; Metazoa; Chordata; Mammalia; Chiroptera; Miniopteridae
Source: RefSeq, a predicted model, not a curated record
GAAAAUUCCAGGGAGCACUGUUUGAGCUGUUAUAAUUGAUCUCCUUGGUGUUCCAGGGUGUCCUCACGCCAGACCAGCGGUGCUGCUCCCAGUGUGGCCCAUGGGCUGAAGCUGGGCUGCAAACAGCUGCUGCUACGUGGAGGGAAGGUCCCUCUCCCAGGUCAUAAUCUUGUCUUCUACCAAGAAAAGAGAAGCAGCCAAAAGCAAC